Molecule: ribosomal RNA, 253 nt
Filed under: uncultured bacterium
Lineage: Bacteria
Description: partial 16S ribosomal RNA
Rfam family: Bacterial small subunit ribosomal RNA
Source: RNAcentral
UACAGAGGGGGCAAGCGUUGUUCGGAAUUACUGGGCGUAAAGGGCGCGUAGGCGGCCUUCUAAGUCGAACGUGAAAUCCCCGGGCUCAACCCGGGAACUGCGUCCGAUACUGGAAGGCUUGAAUCCGGGAGAGGGAUGCGGAAUUCCAGGUGUAGCGGUGAAAUGCGUAGAUAUCUGGAGGAACACCGGUGGCGAAGGCGGCAUCCUGGACUGGUACUGACGCUCAGGAGCGAAAGCGUGGGGAGCGAUCCGG